UGGGGAAUAUUGCACAAUGGGCGCAAGCCUGAUGCAGCCAUGCCGCGUGUAUGAAGAAGGCCUUCGGGUUGUAAAGUACUUUCAGCGGGGAGGAAGGCGAUAAGGUUAAUAACCUUGUCGAUUGACGUUACCCGCAGAAGAAGCACCGGCUAACUCCGUGCCAGCAGCCGCGGUAAUACGGAGGGUGCAAGCGUUAAUCGGAAUUACUGGGCGUAAAGCGCACGCAGGCGGUCUGUCAAGUCGGAUUUGAAAUCCCCGGGCUCAACCUGGGAACUGCAUUCGAAACUGGCAGGCUAGAGUCUUGUAGAGGGGGGUAGAAUUCCAGGUGUAGCGGUGAAAUGCGUAGAGAUCUGGAGGAAUACCGGUGGCGAAGGCGGCCCCCUAGACAAAGACUGACGCUCAGGUGCGAAAGCGUGGGGAGCAAACA
This 427-nucleotide ribosomal RNA is filed under the name uncultured bacterium. RNAcentral describes it as "partial 16S ribosomal RNA". It matches the Rfam family "Bacterial small subunit ribosomal RNA", at positions 355 to 774 of the family's 1533-position model. The record is from RNAcentral.